CCUAGGGGUGGCAGCAGUGGGGAAUAUUGGACAAUGGGCGAAAGCCUGAUCCAGCCAUGCCGCGUGUGUGAAGAAGGCCUUCGGGUUGUAAAGCACUUUCAGUGGGGAAGAAAGCCUUGGGGCUAAUACCCUCGAGGAAGGACAUCACCCACAGAAGAAGCACCGGCUAACUCCGUGCCAGCAGCCGCGGUAAUACGGAGGGUGCGAGCGUUAAUCGGAAUUACUGGGCGUAAAGCGCGCGUAGGCGGUCUGAUAAGCCGGUUGUGAAAGCCCCGGGCUCAACCUGGGAACGGCAUCCGGAACUGUCAGGCUAGAGUGCAGGAGAGGAAGGUAGAAUUCCCGGUGUAGCGGUGAAAUGCGUAGAGAUCGGGAGGAAUACCAGUGGCGAAGGCGGCCUUCUGGACUGACACUGACGCUGAGGUGCGAAAGCGUGGGUAGCAAACAGGAUUAGAUACCCCGGUAGUC
This 465-nucleotide ribosomal RNA is filed under the name Vreelandella stevensii. RNAcentral describes it as "partial 16S ribosomal RNA". It matches the Rfam family "Bacterial small subunit ribosomal RNA", at positions 338 to 795 of the family's 1533-position model. Lineage: Bacteria; Pseudomonadati; Pseudomonadota; Gammaproteobacteria; Oceanospirillales; Halomonadaceae. The record is from RNAcentral.